UAAAGUUAUUAGUUACAGUCAAGUCUUAUGACUAAUUAUUUAAACACUGGUUUUACGUACCUAAACACUGAUUCUUUCCAAUUUCCUCUAAAUAUUGUUUUCUCAGUCGCGUCUACAUGCUUUUGUUUGUUCCGCAUCGCCUUGUAGUAUUGGGCCUUGUAUGGGCCACUUUAAUGACGUUAGAAACUGGAAUGAAGGAAAUACUUCUCAAAAAAGACCUUACUAACAAAGAAAAUUGAGUCUUGAAACAAGGGUUUACGACAAAGAAAAUUGAGUCUUGAAACAUUUCUAUUAAAGAAUUUUUGUCACAUUAUCUUAAUACAGUAGAACCUUUUAUAAAUUAAUACUCUAUAAAUUAAUAACCUCUAUAAAUUAAUAAAUUCUUCCAGUUUCGAAUUGAGACCAAUGUAAAAUGUGAUACAAAUCGAUAAAUUAAUAAGAUAAUAAUUUUUUUGAAAGUCCUAUGUAAAUAUAUAGUCCCAUCAAUAUCAUAAAUUAAUAAUUAUAUAAAUGUAUCAACUAUAUAUAUAUAUAUAU
RNAcentral lists this small RNA (537 nucleotides) under Arabidopsis thaliana (thale cress). RNAcentral describes it as "ATSL000510". Lineage: Eukaryota; Viridiplantae; Streptophyta; Magnoliopsida; Brassicales; Brassicaceae. The record is from RNAcentral.